RNAcentral lists this transfer RNA (64 nucleotides) under Xiphophorus maculatus (southern platyfish). It matches the Rfam family "tRNA". From Rfam's summary of the family: Transfer RNA (tRNA) molecules are approximately 80 nucleotides in length. Their secondary structure includes four short double-helical elements and three loops (D, anti-codon, and T loops). The record is from Rfam by way of RNAcentral. Lineage: Eukaryota; Metazoa; Chordata; Actinopteri; Cyprinodontiformes; Poeciliidae.
GACCAUGUGGCAAGGCGUCUGACUUCGGAUCAGAAGAUUGAGGGUUCAAGUCCCUUCGUGGUUG